RNAcentral lists this ribosomal RNA (110 nucleotides) under Zingiber officinale. The record is from RNAcentral. Lineage: Eukaryota; Viridiplantae; Streptophyta; Magnoliopsida; Zingiberales; Zingiberaceae.
GCGAUCAUACCGGCACUAAUGCCGGAUCCCAUCGAACUCGAAGUUAAGCGUGCUUGGGCGAGGGCGAUACUAGGAUGGGUGACCCCAUGGGAAGUCCUCGUGUUGCUUUU